UUUGCGGAGGCGAAAACAUAAACAAGCUGAUUCAGAUUAAAGAACACUUUGUCAAAAUAUCUAAAUCCACACAAGCCAGGCUGAACUGAAAUAUCCAUGGGAAUAUGAUGACUGCUGCCCCAUGAGAUACCUGCCUAAAUGCUUGACAAGAGAGGCACUUUGAUGAUGAAUCUGUUUCAGUGUCUGGGGCAAUUAUAUGAAGACGAAAUGAUAACCUAUAGGGAUGAUGUUCGAUAAGACUGCAAUGUUCUAUCAGACCAGCAGAUGGAGUCUUCAAAGCUCUGCACUUCUAAGGGAGGAGUUUUUCAACCCUUUAUUUGGGAUGUGUGUGACAGCGCUUAGAAGAACCUUCCAUGGAAAUACAUUCUGCCUCCUAGUGAGCCCCCACCCUGUGAGCCUGCAUCUCAUAACAUGAAGAAAAAAUGAGGGUUUAAGGCUCAUUACAAUACAUUUAACUGUGUUAUUGUAGCUGCCAGGGGGAAAGUGCAUUGCUUCACUCUUGUAGUCUAAACUUUAGUUAUUGAGAGUACAUUGAUUAUGAUUUUCAAUUUUGUUCUGGGAUGGUGAUAGAGUUAUAUUAUAACUGCAUAUGAUGUAAUGCUCGCUUGUGGAUUAAACACUGAUGAAGGACAGUGAAAGCAUAUCAUCUAUAAGCACUAUCAGUCAGUUCAGAAAAAUUCAAUAAAAUUAUGGUUUGGGAUGUCUUAUAAUAAUCACAAUUUAGAAUAAAUCAAGACAUUUUGUGUAUGUUGACUGUCUACCAUAUUUAUGAUUCAAGAUCUUAAUCAUAAACUAUUUUCAUUAUCCCUUUUCCUUAUACUAUUUAAGUAUAUCACCGAAAAUCCUUCACAUUUUUGGAAAGUCCCAGGACUGCCAAUCUAGUUUUAAAAAUUCUGAAACCUUCUUAGGCUAUGUUUUUCCACUGAGGUAUUAUGAAUAAUGUUGUUAAAUUUCUGGCUAGUAACUUGGGGAAAGGGAUAUAGAUACAGAGAGAUUACAUUAAAUUAAAGGAAAUUAAGAAAAAAAUACAACAAAUGAACUAAGCAACUGGCUUGUGCAUAUAAAUUAUUUAGUUAUACAUUUUUUUUUAUAGAAAUUACUUAAGUGACUCCAAAAGAGAAAUUUGGAGAGCAAAAAGGUAGGGCUACCUAUAAGGGAUUUGCCUGCCCAAGCAUCUGACCUUAACCCUAUUGAGCUGCUUUAAAACGAGUCCGAUUGAAAGAUGGAAGGCAAAGACAAAGAUCUGUGGCAUCCGGUGCCAUAAACCUUUGGGAUGUUCAAGAGACAGCAUAGAUCAUAUUUUUACAUGCUUGGAAAAACUGACUUCAUAAAUAAACAGCGAAAUAUUCUCACACUUUCGACAGUCUGUAAACCUCAUAUGACAUAUAUGUACACAACCUAAAUGACAUAUAUGUACACAUUUGAGACACCAUUCUGGUCUAGAAAGAUUUUCAAUGGCAUUAGGAUUAAGAAGUGGCCAUGAAACCACUUCAGAUCGUAACAGCACCUUCACUUGCCCUAAAUGCCAUAUUGCUUAAGUCAAAGUGGGUUGAAGUCAGGUUUGUUGUAUUCUUGACUUCCCUGUUCUUUAUUCAUUGCAUGCAUAUAGAGUCAAUACACUGUGAUACAACCCCAGGAAUCAUAAUUACAUUAGUUGGAAAAGAUGUUGGGGGUAAGUGUUUGUAAGGGAGGGGGUUCAUCCUAUUUUGUAAAAAUGCUGAAACUCCAGGAGGUCCGACAGCCAAUUAAAUAAGCACCAAUCCAGCUCCUCCCUACCCCCAUGGAUCCUGUGCUCUCAAACUCUUGGUCCCACCCCUAUUCAAUACUCAUUCCUCACUGAGAGUGUGAAAGAGCAGAAGAGAGGGAGGGAGAGCUUUUCCAUGAAAUCUCCUGUGUCUCUGUCUGCUAGUCAUAGCCAUGGGCCACUGGAGGUAGAGCAACCAGACCAAAGAGCAGAGGAAGGGGGUUGAGACUUCAGAUAUGCCCAGUAGCCUACAUGUCAGUGGGGUAUUGUCUGCUGAGAGUCCACAGAGCCCAGUUUAGCCCAGAGCCCCUCAAAUCACAGGCCUGGCCAUCUACCUCACCAGCUGUUAAUGAGAAGAUGAUUAUUAUAAUUUUUUUUUUAUCACAAUUAUAUCAGCAUGACAGAAUUAUUGCAAUGCCUUGCUAAAAUAUUGUAAAUGUUUUGUGAUACAUUUACAUUUUAUCAAUGUUAACACAAUUAUGUUUAUAUGUCUUUCUAAAUAAAUAGCCAUGAUCAAGAAUUAAUGAUGCUCUCAGGCAAUCU
This is a long non-coding RNA of Tachysurus fulvidraco (yellow catfish), 2287 nucleotides long. RefSeq lists it as uncharacterized. The transcript has 3 exons. The record is from RefSeq and is a predicted model, not a curated record. Lineage: Eukaryota; Metazoa; Chordata; Actinopteri; Siluriformes; Bagridae.